RNAcentral lists this ribosomal RNA (253 nucleotides) under uncultured bacterium. RNAcentral describes it as "partial 16S ribosomal RNA". It matches the Rfam family "Bacterial small subunit ribosomal RNA", at positions 524 to 776 of the family's 1533-position model. The record is from RNAcentral.
UACGGAGGGUGCGAGCGUUAAUCGGAAUUACUGGGCGUAAAGAGUGCGUAGGUGGUAUGGUAAGUUAUCUGUGAAAUCCCCGGGCUCAACCUGGGCAAGUCAGAUAAAACUGCUGUACUCGAGUAUGGGAGAGGGUAGUGGAAUUUCCGGUGUAGCGGUGAAAUGCGUAGAGAUCGGAAGGAACACCAGUGGCGAAGGCGGCUACCUGGCCUAAUACUGACACUGAGGCACGAAAGCGUGGGGAGCAAACAGG